GCCUGGUUGGUUCAGUUGGUAGAGCCUGUGACUCUCGAUCUCAGGAUUGUAGGUUCAAGCCCUACAUUGGGCG
This is a non-coding RNA of Zalophus californianus (California sea lion), 73 nucleotides long. NCBI's taxonomy places the organism in Eukaryota, Metazoa, Chordata, Mammalia, Carnivora, Otariidae. The record is from the annotation of a RefSeq genome assembly.